This 73-nucleotide transfer RNA is filed under the name Paramuricea clavata. It matches the Rfam family "tRNA". Rfam says of the family: Transfer RNA (tRNA) molecules are approximately 80 nucleotides in length. Their secondary structure includes four short double-helical elements and three loops (D, anti-codon, and T loops). Lineage: Eukaryota; Metazoa; Cnidaria; Anthozoa; Malacalcyonacea; Plexauridae. The record is from Rfam by way of RNAcentral.
GACCGCGUAGCUCAGUUGGAAGAGCAUUGGGCUAGUAUUCCAAAGGUCGUAGGUUCGAAUCGCACCGUGGCCG